RNAcentral lists this transfer RNA (72 nucleotides) under Nanobdellota archaeon. RNAcentral describes it as "tRNA-Phe". It matches the Rfam family "tRNA". Rfam says of the family: Transfer RNA (tRNA) molecules are approximately 80 nucleotides in length. Their secondary structure includes four short double-helical elements and three loops (D, anti-codon, and T loops). Further hydrogen bonds mediate the characteristic L-shaped molecular structure. tRNAs have two regions of fundamental functional importance: the anti-codon, which is responsible for specific mRNA codon recognition, and the 3' end, to which the tRNAs corresponding amino acid is attached (by aminoacyl-tRNA synthetases). tRNAs cope with the degeneracy of the genetic code in two manners: having more than one tRNA (with a specific anti-codon) for a particular amino acid; and 'wobble' base-pairing, i.e. permitting non-standard base-pairing at the 3rd anti-codon position. Lineage: Archaea; Nanobdellati; Nanobdellota. The record is from RNAcentral.
GCUAACAUAGCUCAGUGGCAGAGCGUCAGACUGAAAAUCUGAAGGUCAUACGUUCGAUUCUUGUUGUUGGCA